This 253-nucleotide ribosomal RNA is filed under the name uncultured bacterium. RNAcentral's name for it is "partial 16S ribosomal RNA". It matches the Rfam family "Bacterial small subunit ribosomal RNA", at positions 524 to 776 of the family's 1533-position model. The record is from RNAcentral.
UACGAAGGGGGCUAGCGUUGCUCGGAAUGACUGGGCGUAAAGGGUGCGUAGGCGGAUGGCAUAGUCAGAUGUGAAAUUCCUGGGCUUAACCUGGGGGCUGCAUUUGAUACGUGUGAUCUGGAGUGAGGAAGAGGGUUGUGGAAUUCCCAGUGUAGAGGUGAAAUUCGUAGAUAUUGGGAAGAACACCGGUGGCGAAGGCAGCGACCUGGUCCUUAACUGACGCUGAGGCGCGAAAGCGUGGGGAGCAAACAGG